This 2302-nucleotide unclassified non-coding RNA is filed under the name Nilaparvata lugens (brown planthopper). Its description in RNAcentral is "uncharacterized LOC111058492, transcript variant X3". Lineage: Eukaryota; Metazoa; Arthropoda; Insecta; Hemiptera; Delphacidae. The record is from RNAcentral.
UAAAUUUUGAUGUAUUUAUUGAUGGACAAUUCUGCUUUCGAAAGUGACGAGAAACCGAGACCAGGCGUAGAAAUGCAAGAGCUGAAGGAUGUGGUUGUCAAGGACACCAACGGCAAAGCAGCAGAGCACAUGUGUAAGGCAGAUUUGUGCCAACAAGUGCACAAAGAGUACAUGGACAGGCAACAGAGUAAUGCAAAUCCCCAGGACAAUUUGAAAAUGAUUUUCCUUCUUGGCACACUAGGGUUGUUUAUUACAUGGCUCUUACUAUAUAUAUUAUUGAAUAAACUCGAAAUAUUGUGAUUAACGAUGAAGUGUAGGGGACGGACAUCUCUUCACAAGCAUUCACCACAAAGUGAGAAUAGUUAUGUGGCGAUAUCUGAAAAAAUGAGUAAAGGGUGACAACUGAAACAUGCAAGUUAUACCAAUCAGUAACAUUAAUCGACUCUGACAAGGAUGGAAACUAAUGAAAGACUGCUGUGAAAAAGUAAAAAAUGCCUAAUGGUUAUACAAGAUUCAGUUAUUUAUAUGCAUAGUUUAUAUGAAAAGUUAUACAAAUUUGUAUACUCCCUAUCUUUACAAUACUAGUAUGCACCGUAUAACUAACUAUCAAUCAAUAUUGGCAAGAUAAUUUGAAGUGAAGAACAGGAACCAAAACUAUAUCUCUUGCAAAUUUUUAUUUCAACAAAACGUUAAACUCAAGUAUUAAAUAUGAUACGUUUGUACCAAAUUUACUACUUAUUCAAAGUAUUAAGGAUGAUGCCGCAGUUGGGAACUGUAUUUAAAUAAUACUUUAGAGUGAUUCCAGAAUAUUCAUGAUAAUACAUGAAAAAACUAUUAUCAUCAUGGAUAAGCCCAAAAUACCUACUACUUCCAGCAUUUAUUUUUAUAUACUAUUGAAAUAAGACUGUGUAAUUAUGUUUGAAGAAAGAAGGCUGUUACAAGAAAAUAAAAUUUGUAAAUUUUUAAAAAUUGUUUAUGUUUAAUUGUCUAACGACGCACCUCUCUACUGCUACGUGCUGAUGUACUCAAAAUAUCGGCUUAUUCAGUGGAACGGGAAUAUUUUAAUAAUAAUGGCCCAAUUGUCCUAAUAAUAAUUUUGACAAUUGAGUAAUUAAUAUUUCAUUUCAUUUAAAAAAUAUAUAUCAUGACCAGAGAUAAGGGAAGAUCUGGGAGAUUACUGAGUUCUCUCUGAUAUGAUACAUCUGGUAUUUUGAAUCAAUAUUUCAGUAUACAGUACUUCAAUUGAGCAAUAGAAUUUCCAAUAUAUAUAUAUUUUGAACCUUUUCAAUUUUGGAAUGUUUAAUCAAUAAUUCAAUGCAUAUUUCAAUUCAGAAAUAUCUCAUUCAACUUGGAAUAUCUAACAGGAUCUCCAUAAAUAUGAUUUUAUUGGGUAAUUACAAUGAAGAGCGCUCAAUUCGAAUCUAUAGAAACCUGUCUGAAGCUUUGAAAUAAAAGGAAAAAUUUGGUUUAUGUGUUAUCUGCUUUUUCAAGGUUGCAUUACUGGUGAGAAUUACAGUCUACUUGGUAGAUAGCGUCAUUAUAUUCAUAUUUACUGUGAGAAAACUCAUGAGAAUCACUCAUUGUAUUUUUACUGGAAUUUCACCUUGUCUAUAAAAAAAUAAAAUUCUCAAGAAUGUGGAACAAUAUUUAUUAUUAUUAUCGCGUCACUCUUUCCAGACUAUCUAUCUGAAGUGGCUGUACUAUAAAAGAAUUUAAUAAAAACAGUUUAGAUUUGCUACUUUAUUGGUGAGUUGGAAGAUAAAGUAAAAGUGAGAAGUUUCCGAUAGUAGAACACUUAUCUAUGACAAGCACAUUCGGUUGAAGGUUAUUGUGAUUUCCGCGAAAUAUUGCUUCAAAGUGACAGACAACUUCACAUAGGUGGUUAAAUUGGAUUUUUAAUUAUUCUCGUAUCAGUAGUGGAUAUUAAUUGAUAGUGGAAGGUAGUUGUGUAAACAGUUGUAGACGUAUAAUACUGGAACAAUGUCGCCGAAAAAUAUUGAAAAUCAGGAUGCAAUACAGGCUGAUUGGACUCCUAAAGAUCUGCCGGUUCAAGCAGCAUUGCCGGCGAACAGUCCAGCAGCUGAGCAGAAGCAGAAGAAUGGUCCGAAAACGGCUCUGGUCAGAUGGGACACUGGACGUAGCUAUCUCCUGCUUGCAUUCGUCAUAUGCCAGGUUGUAUGGGCAGCCGUCUACUUUCCACUACAAACGUUGACUGAUAAGUUUUAGAAGCAAACAACAUUAUAAUGUAGACCACAAACUCAACAAAUGGCAAUCCUCCAAGUAAAACAUGUUUUUCAACCGA